ACGCGUAGGCGGUUUGUACAGUCAGAAGUGAAAUUCCUGGGCUCAACCUGGGACUGCUUUUGAUACGUGCAGACUUGAGUGAGGAAGAGGGUUGUGGAAUUUCCAGUGUAGAGGUGAAAUUCGUAGAUAUUGGAAAGAACACCGGUGGCGAAGGCGGCAACCUGGUCCUUUACUGACGCUGAGGCGCGAAAGCGUGGGGAGCAAACAGGAUUAGAUACCCUGGUAGUCCACGCUGUAAACGAUGUGUGCUGGAUGUUGGGGGACUUAGUUUCUCAGUGUCGUAGCUAACGCGAUAAGCACACCGCCUGGGGAGUACGGCCGCAAGGUUGAA
RNAcentral lists this ribosomal RNA (331 nucleotides) under uncultured bacterium. RNAcentral's name for it is "bacterial SSU rRNA". It matches the Rfam family "Bacterial small subunit ribosomal RNA", at positions 567 to 898 of the family's 1533-position model. The record is from RNAcentral.